GGCUCAGGAUGAACGCUAGCUACAGGCUUAACACAUGCAAGGUCGAGGGGAAACGAUAUUGGAAGCUUGCUUCUGAUAGGCGUCGACCGGCGCACGGGUGAGUAACGCGUAUCCAACCUGCCCAUCACUUGGGGGAUAACCUUGUGAAAGUAAGACUAAUACCCAAUGACGUCUCUAGAAGACAUCUGAAAGAGAUUAAAGAUUUAUCGGUGAUGGAUGGGGAUGCGUCUGAUUAGCUUGUUGGCGGGGUAACGGCCCACCAAGGCGACGAUCAGUAGGGGUUCUGAGAGGAAGGUCCCCCACAUUGGAACUGAGACACGGUCCAAACUCCUACGGGAGGCAGCAGUGAGGAAUAUUGGUCAAUGGACGAGAGUCUGAACCAGCCAAGUAGCGUGCAGGAUGACGGCCCUAUGGGUUGUAAACUGCUUUUAUAAGGGAAUAAAGUGGGAGUCGUGACUCUUUUUGCAUGUACCUUAUGAAUAAGGACCGGCUAAUUCCGUG
This 501-nucleotide ribosomal RNA is filed under the name uncultured bacterium. RNAcentral describes it as "bacterial SSU rRNA". It matches the Rfam family "Bacterial small subunit ribosomal RNA", at positions 21 to 507 of the family's 1533-position model. The record is from RNAcentral.